UCGGGUCGUAAACUCCUGUCUGGGGGGAUGAAUACUGACAGUACCCCCGGAGGAAGCCCCGGCUAANUACGUGCCAGCAGCCGCGGUAAUACGUAGGGGGCGAGCGUUGUCCGGAAUUACUGGGCGUAAAGCGCGCGCAGGUGGCUUGUUAAGUCAGGUGUCAAAAUGCGGGGCUCAACCCCGUACCGCACUUGAAACUGGCAGGCUUGAGUGCAGGAGAGGAAAGUGGAAUUCCUAGUGUAGCGGUGAAAUGCGUAGAUAUUAGGAGGAACACCAGUGGCGAAGGCGACUUUCUGGACUGUAACUGACGCUGAGGCGCGAAAGCUAGGGGAGCAAACAGGAUUAGAUACCCUGGUAGUCCUAGCCGUAAACGAUGGGUACUAGGUGUUGGGGGUGACAAUCCUUCCAGUGCCGCAGUUAACGCAUUAAGACCCCGCCUGGGGAGACGGCCGCAA
RNAcentral lists this ribosomal RNA (455 nucleotides) under uncultured bacterium. RNAcentral describes it as "bacterial SSU rRNA". It matches the Rfam family "Bacterial small subunit ribosomal RNA", at positions 418 to 891 of the family's 1533-position model. The record is from RNAcentral.